This 376-nucleotide ribosomal RNA is filed under the name uncultured bacterium. RNAcentral's name for it is "bacterial SSU rRNA". It matches the Rfam family "Bacterial small subunit ribosomal RNA", at positions 524 to 898 of the family's 1533-position model. The record is from RNAcentral.
UACGUAGGGUGCGAGCGUUAAUCGGAAUUACUGGGCGUAAAGCGUGCGCAGGCGGUUAUGUAAGACAGAUGUGAAAUCCCCGGGCUCAACCUGGGAACUGCGUUUGUGACUGCAUAACUAGAGUACGGCAGAGGGAGGUGGAAUUCCGCGUGUAGCAGUGAAAUGCGUAGAGAUGCGGAGGAACACCGAUGGCGAAGGCAGCCUCCUGGGCCAGUACUGACGCUCAUGCACGAAAGCGUGGGGAGCAAACAGGAUUAGAUACCCUGGUAGUCCACGCCCUAAACGAUGUCAACUAGUUGUUCGGUGAGGAGACUCAUUGAGUAACGCAGCUAACGCGUGAAGUUGACCGCCUGGGGAGUACGGCCGCAAGGUUAAA